AGAGAGAGAGAGAGAGUUGGGCUUUCUUGCAUAAUUUUGUCAUCAGAAUCACUUUUUGCUAGUAUUUACAAGGCAAGAUUCAAAAACCUGCCCACCGCCUGGUUUCCUUGCCCAGAAUCCAGAUAUAACGUUGCUGGUUUCUAUGACAAGUUUUCCAUAAGAAUUAGACAACCAAGCCUGAGAUGGAGGUGCAGACAGGAUUGAACUACACAUGCUAUUAUGGUGAACAUUUAAGAGGUUCACUUCCGCUUUCUACCACGAGGCCUACGAGCAGGGACAUCCUUAGUCUAACCCGUAUCCUUCUUCCUGCGCUCUUCACCACUAUCGCCUUCAUCAGUUUCUUCAUCAAAACUCUCAGUCCUCUCUUUGGACACUUCAUCUUCUUCGUGCAAUUGUUUUGCAUUUGCUUGUUUGGAGAGCCGAUCACGAAGCUGUCUGAGUUUUGCUUUCUUUGAGCUCAAGACCCCAACAAACUAGAAGCAUUAACACAGAAUAGUCAUUCCUAUUGUAGGGGAAAGUAUCCAAGAACUUCAAAAAUUUAAAUGAAGAAUUCAUAUGUGGUUAAUUGAUAUCCAAACAUGCUUAUAUAAUAUGCAGUUACUGAUAAGGGUUUAUAUGUCUAAAAAGACUUCAGAACGAAAAAUGAGUGAGAGCAAGAGGUGCUUGGAAUGGAAAACAAACCUUCCCAUAGAUUUUCUUUUCAAACUGUGUCUUCUCAUUGCUGAGUUUCUCACUUUGAGACAAACAUUUUUCUGCCUCUACUUUGAGCCUGUCAGUUGACUGGGUUUGGUGGACAACUUCCUCCUAUUUAUGCAAACAAGGAACUCAUGAAAUGCCUUUUAAAUAUGGUUAAACGGAGGAGCCAAUAUUUGCAUGAAAAACCUCAGCUGGCUGGAGAUCUCAACAUUAAUCUUAUUAAACAGCAAGGAACAUCAAAUACACUCAUUAAACAGAUUUCAUGUGCCAAAAGUUAAACAGAUUUAUUAAUUGCUUUGGCACAUCAUUAAACAGAUUUCAUGGUUAUGAUGAAACAUUAGAUGAAAUUGGGUAACCAUGGUGAAACAUUAUAUAAAGUUAGAUGGCCAUAGUGAAAUAAAAUCAAAUUGAAUGAUCAUAAUUACACGAUAUACUCACCAUCCCAGACUGACUUUUUUAUUUUCUUGUCUCAAUUAUAUUGUCUUGUUUCUUUAUUGAGAAUAUUUUAUUUUAUUUGUUUACUAAUAUAUCAUUAUUUUAUUUGUCAGGUUAUAACUAUAUUUUUCAAUUUAAUCUUAAAGUUGUAUAAAUAUAAAUAAGAGUAAACUAGAAAAGUUUAUGACAAAAUUUGUUUUUUCAAUAAAACUAAACAAAAUUUCUUUACAUGUGUGAAAAACAAAACCAAUCUAUAUAAUUGAACAGAGAGAGUAUAAAGUGAAAUCAAAUUGAGUGACAAUGGUGACAUCAAGUAUAAAGGUUGGUGACCAUUAAUGGAUUUAACCAUGCUAAACAUAUAUCCCAACUACCGAACUACAUGUAUCGCAAUGUUUUAGCUUCUUUUUGCUCUUUAAUAACACCAUCUAGUGUCAUUAGGUCUAGAUCUUGAAAGGGUCGGCCCGAGUAUUUCACACACACUUGUUUCAUAAGCAUCUAAUGUCGCAUUGUCGCAUAAACACCAGAUUAUAUACCCAAAGAACAAACCAACAAUUAAAAGUAGUAGAACAUACAAAUGCUAAAAUAAAAUAAACUCAUUCCCCUGCAUACAAAGUGAAAAAGAAAAAAUUAAGUAAAACCCUAAUAAAGACGAACAUUUCGAUUCAAGAACCAAGAAACAUUUGAGAUUCGAUUGGUUCGCGAUUCUUAAUUAUUUUUUGGAAACUGGCUGAACCUCCUAUUCCGAUUAAAAUCCCACCCAUAGCUGCCUCACAACAUUAUUCCCAUUAAACAUGAUAAGAAAUUAUUAUUUCUCAAAGCUUUGAAGGUAAAACUUUCUCAUUUUUCAAUCCCAACAGCCCACACAGCUCUGGGUACAAAGCCUUCCUUAUUUCUGCAUAGACCUUACCAUCCCAUCUCUUUUUGGCCAAUUCAUCACACAGGCGCAUUGCAGCCUCCACCGCCUCUUCCGGGCUAGGGUACGCUGAGUCCACGAUCCCCAUUUCUACUGCCUCCUCAGCCUUCACUUUUGCGGCCCGUAACACCAAGCUACGCCGCGCUGAAGCAGAUCCGAUCUUGGAUCGUAUUAGAGCCGUGAAGUAAUCGGGCAAGGUCACCCCUAUGUCCAGUUCACUCAUGUACAUCACACUCCUUGAUGCCGUCAUGGUGACAUAGUCGUGGCUCAUGGCUAGUAUCAAGCCGGCGGCAGCGGCGUGACCCCCGACGGUUGCGACUGUGGGCAUCGGUAGGGUUAGAAAAUCAGAGACGAUGCCCUUGAACAGGUCGACCAUCCGGAGUAAUUCAUUCUUGGCUGCUUGAAUCGAGCCUGAUUUAGCGCCGACGGCUUGAACGUGCCUUAAAUCAAAUCCGUUGGAGAAGAAUCUCCCUUGCGCCAGCGUGAUGAGAACGGAGCCGGCGACGGCUUGCGACUUGGCUUCGGCCAAAGCCGAGCGGAUGGAUGAUAUGAGAGCUGGGUUUAAGCGAUGCUCAUCUUUGUUGUCGCCGGUUAACGUUAAGAUAAGAAGGUUGCCGCGCUUCUCUAACGUGCACAUGGUGGCUGCGGGGUGACGAUUAUAGAGAAAAUUGUCAAUUUUGGUAGAUAAGAGAUUGCAUGGUAAUAAUAUAAUAAUCUUUAAAAAGUGUGCAUUCCAAAAUGAAUUAAUCUAUUGGUACAUAAUGAAGCGUAGAUGGCGUGCUAGAACCUUUCCAAGAUACCAACUUGCCGGCCUUUUAUUAUUUAGAAGAAUUGCCCCAACCUUUAUCUUCUAUUGUAAUUGCUCCUUUAUUUUCUUUUUAAUUACUAUUACUUUUUUUCUUUAAUUGUUCGACUAUAAAUUUUGCAAAAAUAUUAGGCUACGAUUGGUUUAGUUUUCUUUUUUUCAUUUUUGAUUUCAAAACGAUUUUUACUUUUCUUCGAAAACGCCGCGCUUUCAGCAUUUUCGCGUUUUGAGCAUUUAUAACUGAAAACGCUCAAAAUGAUACAAAAUCGUUUUGCGUUUUCAAUUAUAAAUUUUACCUCGUUUUUUGAAAAUGAUGAACCAAACGCGUUUUCUGCAUUUUCGAAAAUGAAAAAGGCCCGAAAACGCUAAACCAACCAUAGCCUUAGGUAGUUGUUGGUUUGCAUUUUCAUUUUCAAAACGAUUUUUAGUUUUCCCCGAAAAUGGCCAGUAUUUCGGAUUUUGAGCGUUUUCGACAUUUAUAAUUGAAAACGCUGAAAACGAUAAAAAAUUGUUUUACAUUUUCAGUUAUAAAUUUUAACUCGUUUUCCAAAAUGUGUUUUUGAAAAUGACGAACUAAACGCAUUUUCCCCGUUUUGGAAAAUGGAAAACGGAAAAUGGUCCGAAAACGGAAAACCAACCACGGCCUUAACACUUCAAAAAUCAAAUUUUUUAUAUUUAAAUAUUAAAUACUAAUUAUAUAAAUUUCAUUCUCUCACCCAUCUUCUCUCUCCAAUUUCUUAGUCUAAUCAAUUUCUUUCUCCAAUUUAUUCUCUCACCCGUUUCUCUCUCUCCACCUAUCCUCUCCAAUUGAUUAUAUUUUCUCUUCAUUUUCUCCUUUCUUCUCUCACGUGUCUUGUCUCUCCACCCGCCCUCUCUCUCCCCCCGGCAACGUAAGAAAACAAUUCUGGCUCCAAUGUCCAGUAUAAAGUUGGAGAGUGGUGAUUCUGAAAAUCAUGCUAGGUUUCUUGAGUAGUAUAGUGAUGCAGAAUUGGAUGAGGAAUCAAAUGGAGGAAGUCCAGCAGUUUCUGAGGACCCAUCUAUUGACACUGAUGGCCAGACAUAAAUUGUUGUUGGGAAGGAAAUUGGAGAUACUGGAAACAACGAUGGGAAUGAGCCUUCUGUUCUCGUGAUAGAUAAUGAUUUUACUUCUCAGAAUCGUUUGCAAAAACUCAGGAAGGGUAGUGAGAUAAUAAAUGAUUCUGGUGAUUUGGACAGACGAACAAAUUCAGCCAAAGAAGGUACAUAUCCUAGAGUGUUUGAUGUGCAAGUUGUUGGAGAGGCAAGUAUAGGCUGGAAGGUCAUGUUGCAUGAAGAGGAGAAAGUGGUUUGUUUUUUUACUAUUUUGUGAUUGGUCUCUGUUAAUGUGGUGGUGGUUUGUGGUGCAAUGAUGAGGGGUGGCCGGUGGUGUUGUGUUUGCUAUGGUGGCGGUCACUGAUUUUUUGAUUGAUUGUGACUAUUAAAUUGAUUAAUUUAUGACCAAUAAACAAUAUGUGACCACGAAUAAGAUUAAUCGUGACUAAUGUGGCCUAAAAAUAUAUUAAUUUGUGACCUAUACAUAAAAUUGUGACGGAUUACUUUUUGAUCUGUGACCAUUGAACAAAUUGUGAAGUAACAUGGUAAGAAUCCCAUACAUCAUAUUGUACAAGAUCAAAGGGUUUGUUUGACAACCUAUUAUUCGACUUAAAAAGACAAUCUCCUCUGUUUAGCAAGAGGACAAACAAAGCAAAGCAUGUGUUUGUUAAAGUUUGUGACAUCAUACAACAAUUGUUCCUCCAAGCAUUCUAAUCUUUUAAAGGAAAGAUGACCUAGUCUGUUAUCCCAUAUAUGGACAGUCACAUUAUUAACAAAUGUGUUAGUAGUGGAAUUCAGAAUCCUGGUAUCCAGAACAUACAAAUCCUACAUUCAAUCACCCCUGCCAAUCAUCCUCUUAGUUUUAGCAUCCUAAAUGAUGAAGCAAUUAUGAGAAUUGUGAAUCAGUGCUCAAUGCACUAGCUGUGGCAUAAAUAACACAUCACACAGCACAAGUUUUGGACUCAAUCUGAUAUCUCCUCAAAAUUUAACUGAAAUCUGUGCAUAAUUGGGUAAAGUCACAUUUGAACCCUCAUGAGCCUUAUAUUCAUAAACGCAGCAGCAAUAUGGAGCAUACAUGUUUAGUAACCCGUGGGUCUAUUAUCCAGAUUUUCUUGGAAAAAAAAUAGGAUUAACAAAUUUGGAGUAGCAUAUACCUGCAUUAUAUGAUGCAAUGUUGUUAUCCUGAUGAUUAGAAGUUGCUGUGUUUGAACUUAAUGCCAAGUGAGUAGACAAUACCGACAUCAAUUAUUGAUAUUGAUAAGAACUUAAGUUCUAAACAAAACUUCCAAUACCAAAUUGUUGUGGAUUACUCAACCUAUCUUCAUCCUAUGCAUGAAAUGAAGUACAAAUCUGAUUGACGGGAUUAGAGCUGGAAGAGUUAUUGCUGUAAGAUCCUGAUUUUGGUUUGUAACCAGAUAAAUAUCCAUGAAUUUCGUGUUGGGAAAUACACCGAUUUAAAUGUACAUAUUAUAUUCAUAAAACGUAAUUUACACGUUCACGAAAUCGAAACAAUGUUUCGACUUACCGAAAUGGAGUUUGAAAAACUAAUCAAUGAUUAUCGAAUCUGACCAUUUGCAUUCUUGAAUUAAAACAUGUUAUUCUUGAUAUCGAACCUUGCAUAAACCAUAUAAAUAAAAUUAAUCAUUUUUGGAGAUCAAGUAUGAAGAAAUGAAAUCAGAAAUAAGAAAAAAUUAGAUGCAAGUGAUGCGAUUGACAGAGGCGAAUAUAACUCUUUCCUUAAGAUGAAUUUGUCCUGUAUCGGUGCUAACGAUUUUUCGACAAUCAUCUCUCAAGAUACAACAACCACGUCAAGCCAUAGGAGCACUCCAAAUGGCUUCGACCAACGAACUUGAACGGAAUUCCCUCUCUACCAUAACAAUGAUUUUGAUGCAAAAGAUAAUCACUUCUACAAAGUGUUUUAUGUAACUUAACAUGAAAUGAAUAAUAUGAAAUUAUGGAAUGAAUUGGAAUGACAAAAACACAUCAAAGGGGUCCUAUAUAUGGAAAAUGAAGGGUUGUAGGUGAAGAGAGACACCCCAAAUCCAGCAUUUUUCAUGAAAAGUUGCAACACUUCAUUUCAAACCUGCAUCCUUUCGAAAAGUUGCAACGCUUCAUUCUUCCAAUUUUGGACCGCAAUUUCUCAUUCAUACGGAAUUGGUUUCGAGAUUUCAAAUAUACCACGACAAUCUACUCGACAAGUAGAAUAAGUUGAUCUAUUUUUUUUGUAAUUUGACUAUCGGAUCAAGUCCAAACAUUCGACCGAAGUUGAUACGAAGUCACACCUUUUCAUUUUCCCAGUUUUAUUUUUAACCAAUUUUCGGUUAAUUUUUGAACCAAUUCCAAUGUUUCGUAGCAUCUAUCAAUUGAAUGUCCAUGGAUGUUGCAAUGUGUGUAAUAAGGCCUUUCUUUCUUCUUGACGUUUCCAAGUUUGGAACUAUUGUUGUGGGAUCCUAACCCAUAGAUGCUUUCAGAGAUUCUGCUUUAAAGGCGAAUGUAGGUCUCCAGUUAGAUCAUUUUCAUUGGCCAUUUGCGUACGGAUCCUUCUCUGAUUUUCUUCUUAAGAGAUCAAAGCAAAUACUUUAUUUAUUGGAAGUAGAGGAUCCAUUAGCAAUAAAUGUCCUUUCUAUGAGAAAAUGAAUCAUGAAGUCCCAUGAGGAAGGACAUUAUAUACUCCAUCUGAUAGUGUUUGUUUAGUUCUUUCACUCCUCCACGUGUACAUUUCCCACAUGUACAUGUAGGACAAUCGUUGCUCAAUUCCACCCAAAUAGUUUUGGGUUUAGUGAAAUAUAUACUAACAAUACUUUGACCUUGAGUCAAGUUCAUGAGAUCUCGCUUCAAUUGAAAAAUUCUUGGACCAUUAUUCUGGCUGAAACCUAUCUUUGAGAUUACUCCAGAUCUCAUAUGCAGAAGUAGCAUAUAUUAUACUACCUGAGAUCUCCUUUGAAACAGAAUUGAAGAUCCAAGAGAUGACCAUAUUAUUAUCUCAAAUCUAGGAAUUGAUCAACUCAGAGCUCGUACCUUCUGGUUUAGUAAUUGUUCCAUUAAUAAAACCAAGUUCAUUUUUCACUGGUAAUGCAAUCACCAUUACACGGCUCUAAAAGGCAUAGUUUUCUCCCGUGAGCUAUUGUGACGCAAGCAUCAACCCUGGAUUGUAGGAAUGAUGAAGAAAGUAAGGACUUGAAGGUUCAUCAACUACAGAUCUACUCAUUGUCGAUUGUGCAGUUGAGUUACUCUCAGAUUCCAUUGAGGUAGACUUCACUUGUUAGAUCAAUUGCACAGAUGAAGAAGAAGAAGAAUACGGUGCGGAAUUUGGCCUGAUACAUAUUAGAUUCAAAGAUCCAUAAUGAAUCAAAGUUUAUUGAAUAUCAAAUCUAAAGAAAAUGAAUGUACAAAGCUCUAUAAAUAGCCGCAAGAAUUGGCGUCAAAAUUAUUACCAGCUGGACAACUAAUUAACUACAUGAGUGCCAGCUGGCCAACUAGCUAAUCGAAAUGAAAAUGAGCUAACUAUGCACAGUGCGUUUACAUACAAUUUCUAAUAGUAGUGUCAGGUAGAACUAACAAUAUUUUGAUGUUAUUGAUCCUUAAUUUUUAUCUAUAAAAACAAAAAAGUCGAUUAAAGUAGUGUCAUGUAAAACUGACGAUAUAACUUCAUAGUGAUCAUUUGUUACACGAUUCUUGUAACAUUUUUCUACAUCAUCCAACUUUAAUUAUAAUCAUUGAAUAUUCUAGAAGUGUCCACGUCAAUAAUCGAAAUUGGAUAUCUAAAACAACCAUCCAAUGUUCCUAUUUUAAUAAAGUGGCAUUGCAUGUCGUGUACCUUGACUCUACUCAAAACCUGUAACUAGAUUUCCAAAUAAGCAAUACAUUUUUACAUUGAUCAAAAACCAGUAGCAUUUCUGUUACUCAUAAUUAUAUACUAAUUCCAAUCAAAAUGAUAACCAAGUAUCUGACUAAGUGUAUAUAAAACCUGCCCACCGCCUGGUUUCCUUGCCCAGAAUCCAGAUAUAACGUUGCUGGUUUCUAUGACAAGUUUUCCAUAAGAAUUAGACAACCAAGCCUGAGAUGGAGGUGCAGACAGGAUUGAACUACACAUGCUAUUAUGGUGAACAUUUAGGAGGUCACUUCCUCUUUCUACCAUGAGGCCUACGAGCAGGGACAUCCUU
Molecule: long non-coding RNA, 8083 nt
Filed under: Olea europaea (common olive)
Lineage: Eukaryota; Viridiplantae; Streptophyta; Magnoliopsida; Lamiales; Oleaceae
Description: long non-coding RNA (OEUR_LNC007044)
Source: RNAcentral